CGGGUGAGUAACACGUGGAUAACCUACCUAUAAGACUGGGAUAACUUCGGGAAACCGGAGCUAAUACCGGAUAAUAUAUUGAACCGCAUGGUUCAAUAGUGAAAGACGGUUUUGCUGUCACUUAUAGAUGGAUCCGCGCUGCAUUAGCUAGUUGGUAAGGUAACGGCUUACCAAGGCAACGAUGCGUAGCCGACCUGAGAGGGUGAUCGGCCACACUGGAACUGAGACACGGUCCAGACUCCUACGGGAGGCAGCAGAU
Molecule: ribosomal RNA, 259 nt
Filed under: uncultured Staphylococcus sp.
Lineage: Bacteria; Bacillati; Bacillota; Bacilli; Caryophanales; Staphylococcaceae
Description: partial 16S ribosomal RNA
Rfam family: Bacterial small subunit ribosomal RNA
Source: RNAcentral